Molecule: ribosomal RNA, 253 nt
Filed under: uncultured bacterium
Lineage: Bacteria
Description: partial 16S ribosomal RNA
Rfam family: Bacterial small subunit ribosomal RNA
Source: RNAcentral
UACGUAGGUGGCAAGCGUUGUCCGGAUUUACUGGGUGUAAAGGGCGUGUAGCCGGGCUGACAAGUCAGAUGUGAAAUCCGGGGGCUCAACCCCCGAACUGCAUUUGAAACUGUUGGUUUUGAGUAUCGGAGAGGCAGGCGGAAUUCCUAGUGUAGCGGUGAAAUGCGUAGAUAUUAGGAGGAACACCAGUGGCGAAGGCGGCCUGCUGGACGACAACUGACGGUGAGGCGCGAAAGCGUGGGGAGCAAACAGG